UAGUAGUAGUACUAGUAUAGUAGUAGCAGUAGCAAUAGUAGUAGUAGGUGGUGGUGGUUAAAGUAGAAUCGCAUUUUCUUCAAUAAAUAUUUCUAUGAAUAAGACUCAUUCAUACAUUUCCUUCACUACUUCUUCACUUUACGAUGCGGUGUAUAGUGUUUGUUUUCUUCUUUUUUCACAUUUCCUUUUUGUCUCAAUGAUCCUUCCUUCUUUUCUUCCUGUAUGUCGGUCUGUAUGUCAUAAUAUCGUGCAUUACGGCUUAUUAUUGCAUGUUUCCUUAUGUUGUAUUUUUCAUUAUUGUUUUCUGUAAUAUUUGUGGUAUAUUUUCUUUUCCUUUAUUCUAUUACGUUGAUUAUUUUCAUUCUUUCUUGAAGUAUAUUUUUUCUCCUUUCUUAAUACCGCCGUGGUGCAGUGGAACCAUGCGUGCUUUGGGGUCCGAAGGGUCUCCAAGCGCACGGGUUCGAAUCCUGUCCACGGUCCGAGUGUAGGUUGGGCUUCCUCACUCGGGAGAACGGUCUCCUAGCGGGUGGGCUUUCAGGUAGGAGGUACCCCAAAAAGUAUCCCCUUUAGCCCAGAAAUUCCCGUGAAAAGCCCACAUGGUAUAAAUAAAAAAAAAAAUAUAUAAGCUUUUCUCUUUCUUUCUUCCAUUUUCACUUUCUUAACACAAAUAUUCGGUGUUUUGCUUUACUCUUUCAUAUUUUCUCUUCACACCAAGAAUAGUAAGAUCUUUUCUCCUUCCUUUCAUUUUUAUAUUUUUUUCGCUUUCUUAACAGCUCUAUUUUACAUGAACACAAAACUAGACACCUUUCUUUCCUUCCCCUUCUUUAUUUUCCACUCUUAUUUUCACUUUCUUAACACAAACCCAUGCUUUUGUUUCUGUUUCCCUUCUAUUUUUUUUUUAAAUCCUCUUUUUUGCUCCCUAACAUUAUUCCUUCUCUUCCCCUUCUUUUUAGCAUCCUCUUUUCUGGGUCCUACCACAAGCAGGCAGGGUUGAGUCCUUUCUCGUCUCCUGGUCACUACUCAGAAGGGUUUUAAGGGCCAAUGGAGCCCAGAGAUCAUGAAAUUGCGGGCACUUUAUUGAGGUGGUGUGGUGGGUGCCGCGGUGGGUCCUCCUCGGAGCUGCUCUGGCCCAGGUGAGGCUAACACCUGUACAGCCUCCCAGCCAGGUGAACGCAGAGGAGUGAGGCACCUUAGUGUGUGUGUGUGUGUGUGUGUGUGUGUGUGUGUGUGUGUGUGUGUGUGUGUGUGUGUGUGUGUGUGAGGGGUUAGUUGUUGAGCGUUUUAUCUUCCCUCUCUCUAUGUUGUACUUUACUUGGUCCCUUCGUUCCGUGUGUGUGUGUGUGUGUGUGUGUGUGUGUGUGUGUGUGUAUGUGUGUGUGUGUGUGUGUGUGUGUGUGUGUGUGUGUGUGUGUGUGUGU
Long non-coding RNA from Portunus trituberculatus (swimming crab), 1418 nucleotides. RefSeq lists it as uncharacterized. NCBI's taxonomy places the organism in Eukaryota, Metazoa, Arthropoda, Malacostraca, Decapoda, Portunidae. The record is from RefSeq and is a predicted model, not a curated record. The transcript is spliced from 2 exons.